GACGAACGCUGGCGGCGUGCUUAACACAUGCAAGUCGAACGGAAAGGCCCUGCUUUUGUGGGGUGCUCGAGUGGCGAACGGGUGAGUAACACGUGAGUAACCUGCCCUUGACUUUGGGAUAACUUCAGGAAACUGGGGCUAAUACCGGAUAGGAGCUCCUGCUGCAUGGUGGGGGUUGGAAAGUUUCGGCGGGUGGGGAUGGACUCGCGGCUUAUCAGCUUGUUGGUGGGGUAGUGGCUUACCAAGGCUUUGACGGGUAGCCGGCCUGAGAGGGUGACCGGCCACAUUGGGACUGAGAUACGGCCCAGACUCCUACGGGAGGCAGCAGUGGGGAAUAUUGCACAAUGGGCGGAAGCCUGAGGCAGCAACGCCGCGUGCGGGAUGACGGCCUUCGGGGUGUAAACCGCUUUCGCCUGUGACGAAGCGUGAGUGACGGUAAUGGGUAAAGAAGCACCGGCUAACUACGUG
RNAcentral lists this ribosomal RNA (468 nucleotides) under uncultured bacterium. Its description in RNAcentral is "partial 16S ribosomal RNA". It matches the Rfam family "Bacterial small subunit ribosomal RNA", at positions 28 to 507 of the family's 1533-position model. The record is from RNAcentral.